RNAcentral lists this non-coding RNA (212 nucleotides) under Cricetulus griseus (Chinese hamster). RNAcentral's name for it is "Eukaryotic large subunit ribosomal RNA". It matches the Rfam family "Eukaryotic large subunit ribosomal RNA", at positions 971 to 1170 of the family's 3401-position model. The record is from Rfam by way of RNAcentral. Lineage: Eukaryota; Metazoa; Chordata; Mammalia; Rodentia; Cricetidae.
CUUGAAAAUGGAUAGCACUGGAAUGUUGAGCACGAUGUAGUUUUAUCCUGUAAAGCGAAUGAUUAGAGGUCUUGGGGCUGAAACCAUCUCAACCUAUAAUCAAACUUUAAAUGGGUAAGAAGCCCAGCUGGCUGGCAUGGAGGCGGGGAAUGGAAUUCGAGUGCCUAGUGGGCCACUUUUGGUUAGCAGAACUGGUGCUUCGGGAUGAACCG